RNAcentral lists this non-coding RNA (253 nucleotides) under Bacillota bacterium. Its description in RNAcentral is "Firmicutes bacterium T-box sequence". It matches the Rfam family "T-box leader". Rfam says of the family: Uncharged tRNA acts as the effector for transcription antitermination of genes in the T-box leader family. T-boxes are found upstream of many aminoacyl-tRNA synthetase genes and some amino acid biosynthetic genes usually in Gram-positive bacteria. Lineage: Bacteria; Bacillati; Bacillota. The record is from RNAcentral.
UAAAAACCAAUGACGGAGAAAAGUAGCCGAUGCAGGCAAGCCUUCAGAGAGUCCCGGAUGGUGUGAUCGGGGCGGCGGACGGUCGGUGAAUGGACUUCGGAGGGCGGAUCAAAAGGCGAAAGCCGAGUAGAGACCGACGGGUAUCCCACCCGUUAUCCAUCGGGGCGCGUAUGAUGGUGCGCGUAAGCGAGCGGGCGUUUGAUAACGUCAAUUUGGGUGGUAUCGCAGAAGUUCAACGACUUUUGUCCCAUGU